CGGGGGCAACCCUGGCGGCGAGCGGCGGACGGGUGAGCAAUAUUUGGGAAUCUGCCUAUUAGUGGGGGACAACCCGGGGAAACUCGGGCUAAUACCGCAUACGCACUACGGUGGAAAGCCGGGGACCGCAAGGCCUGGCGCUAAUAGAUGAGCCCAAAUCGGAUUAGCUAGUUGGUGAGGUAAUGGCUCACCAAGGCUACGAUCCGUAGCUGGUCUGAGAGGACGACCAGCCACACCGGAACUGAGACACGGUCCGGACUCCUACGGGAGGCAGCAGUGGGGAAUAUUGGACAAUGGGCGAAAGCCUGAUCCAGCGACGCCGCGUGGGUGAAGAAGGCCUGCGGGUUGUAAAGCCCUUUCGGUGGGGAAGAAAAGCCUCGAGUUAAUAACUCGGGGUCUUGACGUAACCCAUAGAAGAAGCACCGGCUAACUCUGUGCCAGCAGCCGCGGUAAUACAGAGGGUGCGAGCGUUAAUCGGAAUUACUGGGCGUAAAGCGCGCGUAGGCGGCUUUGCAAGUCGGGUGUGAAAUCCCCAGGCUUAACCUGGGAACUGCAUUCGAGACUGCAUUGCUAGAGUAUGGGAGAGGGAAGUGGAAUUUCCGGUGUAGCGGUGAAAUGCGUAGAUAUCGGAAGGAACAUCAGUGGCGAAAGCGACUUCCUGGACCAAUACUGACGCUCAUGUGCGAAAGCGUGGGGAGCAAACAGGAUUAGAUACCCUGGUAGUCCACGCCAUAAACGAUGACAACUGGAUGUCGGGAGGGUCUGCCUCUCGGUGUCGUAGCUAACGCGUUAAGUUGUCCGCCUGGGGAGUAC
RNAcentral lists this ribosomal RNA (813 nucleotides) under uncultured Gammaproteobacteria bacterium. Its description in RNAcentral is "bacterial SSU rRNA". It matches the Rfam family "Bacterial small subunit ribosomal RNA", at positions 74 to 883 of the family's 1533-position model. Lineage: Bacteria; Pseudomonadati; Pseudomonadota; Gammaproteobacteria. The record is from RNAcentral.